UGGUACAAAAGCACAGCAAGCAACCUGGAGCCUGCUGUCUGAACAAGCAUGUGUUGGGAUUAACCUGUUGCCAAACGGCUUCACUGUAUUUUCUGUAGUGCUUCCUGCAGCUGCACCUGACAGUUCUCCAGAAGGCUGACGAGAAGCAGUUAAUGUUAAGCUCACACAUAGAGCGGCGUAGCAGCAUCAGAGAGGAUCCUAAUCGCUUGGAGCCUGGCUCGUGCAGCUUGCUGGUGGCACAGAAGAUCUUCCCCUGCAGACUGGGUCCUGGACAGCAUUCCCAUCCCUGCACCUCCAACUGCCAGUGUCUAGGCUAUGGUUUAGAUACACAAACAUAAGCAACAACUGACCUGAGCAUGGAAAUCAUAA
Long non-coding RNA from Oxyura jamaicensis (ruddy duck), 369 nucleotides. RefSeq lists it as uncharacterized. The transcript is spliced from 3 exons. Lineage: Eukaryota; Metazoa; Chordata; Aves; Anseriformes; Anatidae. The record is from RefSeq and is a predicted model, not a curated record.